UGCCCCAUAGUAUAGUUGGUUAUUACACGGGAUUUUGGCUCCUGUAACAUAAGUUCGAGUCUUAUUGGGGUAA
Molecule: transfer RNA, 73 nt
Filed under: Fusobacterium sp.
Lineage: Bacteria; Fusobacteriati; Fusobacteriota; Fusobacteriia; Fusobacteriales; Fusobacteriaceae
Also listed under: 1 other name
Description: tRNA-Gln
Rfam family: tRNA
About the family: Transfer RNA (tRNA) molecules are approximately 80 nucleotides in length. Their secondary structure includes four short double-helical elements and three loops (D, anti-codon, and T loops).
Source: RNAcentral